This 519-nucleotide ribosomal RNA is filed under the name Legionella pneumophila. RNAcentral's name for it is "partial 23S ribosomal RNA". It matches the Rfam family "Bacterial large subunit ribosomal RNA", at positions 1 to 551 of the family's 2925-position model. Lineage: Bacteria; Pseudomonadati; Pseudomonadota; Gammaproteobacteria; Legionellales; Legionellaceae. The record is from RNAcentral.
UUAUAUGGUCAAGAAGAGAAGCGCAAACGGUGGAUGCCUUGGCAGUAAGAGGCGAAGAAGGACGUGGAAUCCUGCGAAAAGCUAUGGGGAGCUGGAAACGAGCGUUGAGCCAUAGAUGUCCGAAUGGGGGAACCCGGCUGCAGCGAUGCGGUCAUUUGCAUUUGAAUACAUAGGAUGCAAAGGCGAACUCGGGGAACUGAAACAUCUAAGUACCCGAAGGAAAAGAAAUCAAGAGAGAUUCUCCAAGUAGCGGCGAGCGAACGGGGAGGAGCCUGGCGUGAUUUAUUAUUGAACUGAGUAGAACAAUUUGGGAAAGUUGGCCGAAGAGGGUGAAAGCCCCGUAUACGAAGGUUUGAUGAGGAACUAGGCACGCGAACAAGUAGGCCGGGACACGUGAAAUCCUGGUUGAAGAUGGGUGGACCAUCAUCCAAGGCUAAAUACUACUUACUGACCGAUAGUGAACCAGUACCGUGAGGGAAAGGUGAAAAGAACCCCGGAGAGGGGAGUGAAAUAGAAUCU